UUAUCUCACCACUAAGAGAUCACCAAGCACAACAAGCAGAUUAUAUCACACAUACAUAUAUACAAACAUCACAUAUAUACAAAUAUAUUCACACAAAAAGUAGGCUAAAUCCACUGGAGACUACUCCCCAACAGAGUCGCCACUUAAUUUUUGUAGCGGGAAAUUCCUGAUCAUAAAGCUAUUGACAAGCUAGAGAUCAAAUAACA
This 206-nucleotide long non-coding RNA is filed under the name Lathyrus oleraceus (garden pea). RNAcentral's name for it is "Pisum sativum (pea) long non-coding RNA (PSAT_LNC030176)". The record is from RNAcentral. Lineage: Eukaryota; Viridiplantae; Streptophyta; Magnoliopsida; Fabales; Fabaceae.